AUUGAACGCUGGCGGCAUGCCUUACACAUGCAAGUCGAACGGCAGCACGGGAGCAAUCCUGGUGGCGAGUGGCGAACGGGUGAGUAAUACAUCGGAACGUGCCCAAUCGUGGGGGAUAACGUAGCGAAAGUUACGCUAAUACCGCAUACGAUCUACGGAUGAAAGCGGGGGACCGCAAGGCCUCGCGCGAUUGGAGCGGCCGAUGGCAGAUUAGGUAGUUGGUGGGGUAAAGGCCUACCAAGCCUCCGAUCUGUAGCUGGUCUGAGAGGACGAUCAGCCACACUGGGACUGAGACACGGCCCAGACUCCUACGGGAGGAAGCAGUGGGGAAUUUUGGACAAUGGGCGAAAGCCUGAUCCAGCAAUGCCGCGUGCAGGACGAAGGCCUUCGGGUUGUAAACUGCUUUUGUACGGAGCGAAACGGCUUUCACUAAUACUGGGGGCUAAUGACGGUACCGUAAGAAUAAGCACCGGCUAACUACGUGCCAGCCGCCGCGGUAA
Molecule: ribosomal RNA, 500 nt
Filed under: uncultured bacterium
Lineage: Bacteria
Description: partial 16S ribosomal RNA
Rfam family: Bacterial small subunit ribosomal RNA
Source: RNAcentral